UAAAAAUAAAUAGAGCAUUUUGAAACAAAUAAAAUUAAUCAGUUUAAGGGAUGUACACAAUUAUUUUAAAUCAGUCUGAACUAAAUCCAUACAACCUUAAAAGAGCUCAAUUCAUUUGUGUCGAAACAACAAAAAAUAAUGAUUCAAGUCAAACUACUACUUUUGCGCAUGCGCUGAUGACAGGAAAUCCACGUGACCUCGUCAGUUAUCGCGGGCGCCAUUAUGUGGUGGAGUCCAGUCUAUGGUGGAAUGCUGUAGAAUUGGUUUUUACAAGAGCUCAUUAAAUAGCAAUCCUAUACUUGGGUUAUAGUCUACUUUUUCACAUGGUUUACAAGAGCAAUAAACAGCAUCCCAUGCUUGGGUUUUAGUAAACUUUUUCAUGUGAACAACAGCGUAGACAUGGAAAGAGAAUGCAUCCUCAAAAAGCACUGUGUGUAUACUUAAAGGAGGACCAUCUACAGCUGUUCAAGGAGUACAAUAAAACGUGCAAAUACUGAGUUCUCUUUCAAGUCUUGUGCUUCAGAGGCCAAAUUCGUACAAAAAUUAUAUCAACAUGACCGUCUUGGAUUGCGACUGGAUGAAUGCUAAAGAAGCCAUAGAUCAGAUGGUAAUGGGGAUCUACAUCGUCCAAUCCAUAGUCGCCAACCAGGAGAUAAACCUGUGGACGUUGGUAUCCUGAUUGAAGGGACUGAGGUUCUCUGCUUUUUGAAAAACGUGUAGCAGUGGCCAUGCUGUUUGGACUUACUUACGCCUUGAACCUCAGCUACCCACAAGAACUCAAGGCUACAUUUGAGGUCAUCCAGAAAGUGUUCUUUAUCUUGGAUGGACAAAAACUUUCACUAAAGGUACCAGCCCUUAAGAACAAGAUGUUGGAGUAAGUUACCUUACGUGUGUAUCCUCAAAAGACUAAAUCUUGACUCUAGCUGUGCAUAUACAUUGAAAUAUAAUGUUGUUCAUCUUGGAUGAUAUUUUUUUGUAUUUUUUUACCUGAAAAUUUGCCUUGAAAUAAGAAUAAAGAGAAACUUUUGACAUUCACUUUGAGAACAUUUUAUUUGUGCAGUAAAUUACAUUUUGAUAGACAUGUCAACAAUUAAACAUUUGUUUGAUGUAAAUAAAGUUGUACAAUUAACUUAACGAUAGUAGUUGACACAAUAUUUCUGGUUUUCUAAAUUAAGUGAUUAAGAUUAAUUGGCUCAACAAGAUUAAAUAGUUUAUAGAUAAAUACGAUAAUAUGAUUCAAAUGAAAAUGAUUUGAUCUUGUUGGUUCAAAAUGAAUUUUGCUCUUGGGUUCCAUUUGCCUAAAUUAAGUUGAGACAACACCAUUCAAAUGUGUGGAAAUAGGUGUCAUAAUUAUAUUAAGUUAGACCAACGAUUUAUUUUUUU
This is a long non-coding RNA of Carassius auratus (goldfish), 1383 nucleotides long. RefSeq lists it as uncharacterized. The transcript is spliced from 6 exons. NCBI's taxonomy places the organism in Eukaryota, Metazoa, Chordata, Actinopteri, Cypriniformes, Cyprinidae. The record is from RefSeq and is a predicted model, not a curated record.